CUGACGUGUAGCUCAAUCGGCAGAGCACCCGCCUGUUAAGCGGGACGUUCCAGGUUCGAGUCCUGGCAUGUCAGCCAC
Molecule: transfer RNA, 78 nt
Filed under: Mycobacterium phage Luchador
Lineage: Duplodnaviria; Heunggongvirae; Uroviricota; Caudoviricetes
Description: tRNA-Asn
Rfam family: tRNA
About the family: Transfer RNA (tRNA) molecules are approximately 80 nucleotides in length. Their secondary structure includes four short double-helical elements and three loops (D, anti-codon, and T loops).
Source: RNAcentral